GAAUGGCUCAUUACAACAGUAAUCAUCUAUUUGAUGGUAAAAACUACAUGGAUAACCGUAGUAAUUCUAGAGCUAAUACAUGCCAAAAACCCCGACUGUUUGGAAGGGGAGUAUUUAUUAGAUUCAAAAAUCAAGGCAGGGGGCAACUCCUGGAAAAUUGGUGAUUCAUGAUAACUUUUCGGACCACAUGGCCUAGUGCUGGUGGCGCAUCAUUCGAAUUUCUGCCCUAUCAACUUUCGAAGGUAGUAUAGAGGACUACCUUGGUAAUAACGGGUAACGGGGUUUUAGGGAACGACUCCGGAGAGUUUGCCUUAAAAAUGGCAAACACUUCCAAGGAAGGCAGCAGGCGCGCAAAUUACCCAAUCCGGAAUCCGGGAGGUAGUGACAAAAAAUAUCGACACAGGGUCCAAUAGGGCUUUGUGAUUGGAAUGAGCAAAAGUUAAAAUGCAUAGCGAAAGCCAUUGGAGGGCAAGUCUGGUGCCAGCAGCCGCGGUAAUUCCAGCUCCAAUAGCGUAUGUUAUAGUUGCUGUAGUUGAAAAGCUCGUAGUUGGAUUUCGUUUGCAGACAAGAACUUUUUUUACAAAAAGGACUUUUUCUUGUGAUUUCUCUAUACGUGUAAAACGUGGGAUGGAUUACAAGACUGCAAAUACUAAGCUAGAAGUUGGACAAAAAGGAUGGUUAAUUCGAUUCUUAUUUAUUUGUGUAAAAAGCAAAUGGAUUAUUCCGAGUCAAAUUGGAAGGAUGGUCUACUUCUUUGUUUACUGUGAGUAAAUUAGAGUGUUUCAAGCAGUCCAAAUAGGACAUUGCAUACAAUUAGCAUGGGAUAAUGGAAUAGGACUUGGGUUCUUUUUUCAUUGGUUUUAAAAAUAUACAAGGGCCAGAGUAAUGAUUAAAAGGGACAGUCGGGGGUAUUGGUAUUUUGACGUCAGAGGUGAAAUUCUAAGAUUUUCAAAAGACUAACAGGUGCGAAAGCAUUUGCCAAGGAUGUUUUCAUUAAUCAAGAACGAAAGUUGGGGGAUCGAAGACGAUUAGAUACCGUCGUAGUCUUAACUAUAAACGAUGCCGACCAGAGAUCAGAGGAUGUUGAAUGGAAGACACUUUUGGAAUCUUGAGCGAAAGCACAAGUUUUUGGGUUCUGGGGGGAGUAUGGUCGCGAGACUGAAACUUAAAGGAAUUGACGGGAGGGUACACCAGGUGUGGAGUUUGCGGCUCAACUUAACCCAACACAGGAAAACUCACCAGGGCAAGACAUUGUAAGGAUUGACAGAUUGAUAGCUCUUUCUUGAUUCGAUGGGUGGUGGUGCAUGGCCGUUCUUAGUUGGUGGAGUGAUUUGUCUGGUUUAUUCCGAUAACGAACGAGAUCUCAUCUUAUUAAAUAGAGGUAUACAAAUGGGUAU
This 1397-nucleotide ribosomal RNA is filed under the name metagenome. RNAcentral's name for it is "SSU rRNA". It matches the Rfam family "Eukaryotic small subunit ribosomal RNA", at positions 91 to 1376 of the family's 1831-position model. The record is from RNAcentral.